This 253-nucleotide ribosomal RNA is filed under the name uncultured bacterium. RNAcentral describes it as "partial 16S ribosomal RNA". It matches the Rfam family "Bacterial small subunit ribosomal RNA", at positions 524 to 776 of the family's 1533-position model. The record is from RNAcentral.
UACGGAGGGNGCGAGCGUUNAUCGGAAUUACUGGGCGUAAAGCGCACGCAGGCGGUUUGNUAAGCUAGANGUGAAAGCCCCGGGCUCAACCUGGGANGNNCAUUUAGAACUGGCAGACUAGAGUNUUGGAGAGGGGAGUGGAAUUCCAGGUGUAGCGGUGAAAUNCGUAGAUAUCUGGAGGAACAUCAGUGGCGAAGGCGACUCCCCGGCCAAAGACUGACGCUGANGUGCGAAAGUGUGGGUAGCNAACAGG